Molecule: ribosomal RNA, 465 nt
Filed under: uncultured bacterium
Lineage: Bacteria
Description: bacterial SSU rRNA
Rfam family: Bacterial small subunit ribosomal RNA
Source: RNAcentral
GAUGAACGCUGGCGGCGUGCUUCAUACAUGCAAGUCGAACGAGAAUCUGUAGCUUGCUACAGAGGAAAGUGGCGGACGGGUGAGUAAUACAUAGGAAAUCUGCCCUUAGGUGGGGGACAACAGUUGGAAACGACUGCUAAUACCGCAUAUGAGUACAGUUGAGAUAUUGUACUUGAAAACUACGGUGCCUAAGGAUGAGCCUGUGCCUGAUUAGCUAGUUGGUGGUGUAAUGGACUACCAAGGCGACGAUCAGUAGCUGGUUUGAGAGGAUGAUCAGCCACAAUGGGACUGAGACACGGCCCAUACUCCUACGGGAGGCAGCAGUAGGGAAUUUUUGCGCAAUGGGCGAAAGCCUGACGCAGCAACGCCGCGUGAACGAUGAAGCCCUUAGGGGUGUAAAGUUCUGUCAGUAGGGACGAAACUUGACGGUACCUACGGGAGGAAAGCACCGGGCUAAACUCCGUG